GCGGCUAUAGCUCAGCUGGUAGAGUACCUGCUUCCCAAGCAGGGUGUCGCGGGUUCAAAUCCCGUUAGCCGCU
This 73-nucleotide transfer RNA is filed under the name Thermotoga sp. RNAcentral describes it as "tRNA-Gly". It matches the Rfam family "tRNA". Rfam says of the family: Transfer RNA (tRNA) molecules are approximately 80 nucleotides in length. Their secondary structure includes four short double-helical elements and three loops (D, anti-codon, and T loops). Further hydrogen bonds mediate the characteristic L-shaped molecular structure. tRNAs have two regions of fundamental functional importance: the anti-codon, which is responsible for specific mRNA codon recognition, and the 3' end, to which the tRNAs corresponding amino acid is attached (by aminoacyl-tRNA synthetases). tRNAs cope with the degeneracy of the genetic code in two manners: having more than one tRNA (with a specific anti-codon) for a particular amino acid; and 'wobble' base-pairing, i.e. permitting non-standard base-pairing at the 3rd anti-codon position. Lineage: Bacteria; Thermotogati; Thermotogota; Thermotogae; Thermotogales; Thermotogaceae. The record is from RNAcentral. RNAcentral also lists the same sequence under 2 other names.